RNAcentral lists this ribosomal RNA (165 nucleotides) under Trillium luteum. RNAcentral describes it as "5.8S ribosomal RNA". It matches the Rfam family "5.8S ribosomal RNA". Rfam says of the family: 5.8S ribosomal RNA (5.8S rRNA) is a component of the large subunit of the eukaryotic ribosome. It is transcribed by RNA polymerase I as part of the 45S precursor that also contains 18S and 28S rRNA. Functionally, it is thought that 5.8S rRNA may be involved in ribosome translocation. Lineage: Eukaryota; Viridiplantae; Streptophyta; Magnoliopsida; Liliales; Melanthiaceae. The record is from RNAcentral.
UUUUAUGACUCUCGGCAACGGAUAUCUUGGCUCCCGUAUCGAUWAAGAACGUAGCGAAAUGCGAUACUUGAUGUGAAUUGCAGAAUCCCGUGAAUCAUCGAGUUUUUGAACGCAAGUUGCGCCCGAUGCCAUUCGGCAGAGGGCACGCCUGCCUGGGCGUCACGU